CCAAGUACUUCAAAUUGGUUAACUGGGGGGGGAUUUCUCCAACCAGAAGAUUAUGGCUCAAAUCAAGUACAUUAAGAUGAGUUAUACCCCCUAUCUCCUUUGGAAUUUUCUGGCCAAACUUGUUACAACUGAGGUUCAAGUGAAACAGGUGUUGGUAAUCUCCUAAAAACGUUGGGAUCGACCCAUUCAAUCUAUUGUCUGAUAGAUCAAGGGAGUCUAAAUUUGUCAGUGACCCAAGUUCCUGAGGUAUAUUGCCAGAAAUUUGGUUGUUUUUCAAUGAGAGAUCAACCAGAGAGGUUAAUUUUCCAAAUUCCUUCGGUAUUUGCCCAACCAAAUGAUUUGCUGAAAGAUCAAGUCCCGAAAGACCUUUGAUGUUUCCAAUCUCUGGUGGUAUGCUACCGCUAAUGUUAUUUCUGGCUAAACAAAAAGUAGUCAAAUUCUUGCAUUUCCCCCAGUUGCUGCUGAGUUCGCCAUGAAAAUCAUUGUCGCUCAAAUGAAUGAACUGCAGCUCCGGAUAGUUACCAAAAGCUUCAGAUAAAUUCCCAGUAAAGCUGUUGUUAUUGAAGCGAACCCUUUUGAAACUGGAGCAGUUGCUCAAGCUUCUUGGUAUUGGCCCUGUCAGCUUGUUACUAUUCACUGUGAAGGCCUCAAGUUUCCCACCUUGGCAAAGAUUCUCAGGCAAAUGGCCUGAAAACUGAUUUUCAUCCAUUUCUAUCACAACCAAGUUGUCCAAAUAUGCAAGUUCUUUUGGUAUAGAACCAGAAAGUUUGUUGGCACGGAGAAACAAAGUUUGCAAGUUUCUCAAAUUGCCAAAAGAAGUAGGAAUUGGACCGGUAAGUUGAUUAGUGGAUAACUGCAGAUCAUUCAGUUGUCUCAGGUUCCCCAAUUCACUAGGAAUGGGACCAGAAAGUUGGUUUGAAUGAAGGUACAAGAGAUGGAGCUCAGUUAAUUCUCCUAUAGCUUUGGGAAUUGGACCAGAAAAAUUGUUUGAGCUUAUACUUAACUCCUGAAGUGACUUCAUCUUCCCUAUUUCGGCAGGAAUGUGACCAGUUAAUUGGUUUGAAUCAAGAAAAAGUUGAAGGAGAUUGACAAGUUUUCCAAUUUCUGGAGGAAUAUGACCAGUUAACUUGUUUGAAUCAAGAAAAAGUUGAAGGAGAUUGACAAGUUUCCCUAUUUCUGCUGGAAUGGAACCAGAAAGAUGGUUCUCAUACAGAUGCAAAUAAGACAAUUUGUCCAAAGUCCCCAAUGAAGCAGGAAUUGAACCACUAAGAGAGUUAGAAUUCAAAGCUAGCUCAGUCAAAGACCUUAGGUGACCUAUUUCCUCCGGAAUGGAACCAUAUAAUUGGCUGUUAAAGAUGUGGAGGGUCUCAAGCUUUGUUAAUGAGCCGAUUUGUGGUGGGAUUAUGCCCGAAAUCUGAUUGAAGGACAAGUCAAGAUAGCCAAGAUUAGUGAGCUUUCCUAUUUCAGGUGGGAUAGUGCCAGAGAAGUUGUUGAUGCUAAGAUCAAGAUAACCAAGAAAAGGGAGUGAUGAAAAUGGAAAAUCAUACAGUGUGCCAUUGAUACCAGCAUUUGUCAUAUUCAACAUGUAUACCCUACCGUUAGAACAUGUAACUCCAUACCAGUCCUCGCAUGCAUUAGAACUCGCCGCUCCAAUGCUAUUGGUACCAGCAGGUCCACUUAGCGUCCACGAAGCCAAUAAAGAAUUGUUCUGGUUUUGGAAAGAUGCUUUCCAUUUUAGAAGAGCAGUUGCUUCCUCAGUGGUAGCAAAUGUAACCGCGAAAAGAUAUAAGAAUGUAACACACUGAAGGAAAUUAAAAAUUGUGGGAACUAUCAUCAUUUGCUAAUAAUUAAAAGAUUGUUUUUGGUUUGUGAUGAAGUUGUGCAUGGUUAUACUUGUAUUUAUAUUGUAAUGAAUUAUAGCCAAUCUUUGCAAGUCAGUGGCGUUUAGUUCUCAACUUGUAAAAUACGGGUAGACUUAGAAAGAUUCACAAGUCUUCUAAUAUGUACAUGACUGUCAAGACUCAAGGUACUAUCGUGGGCCAUGUACUGUGGAAUUAUUUCAAGAAGAAACAGUCAAACACGUAAGAGUCUCUGUUCCAUGUUCGAAAAUUAAAUAGUUUAUUAUUUAUUUUCUCGUAUUUAGUAUGUAAAUAAAAAGUAUUUUUAUAUAAUUUAAACAAAUAUAAUUAGAGUGGGGUAAAACUCGAGAUCGAGCACCGCUCGUUGGAAUGAGGUGGCAGAGCGAAAAGCAAUAUGUGCUUGACCUUGACAAAGUGCCUGAAGUAAUAAACAAUAAAAAAGCAUAGAGUGAUAUUAACAUUCCUGUGUCUGCUUUCUUUGAAAGUCAUGUUACAUUUAAGUAGAUUUUUGAUAUUCUUGGUAAGUAGGAUUAUAUUAGUCAAAAUACAUUUUGUAUUAAAUUUUCCUUGAGGAAAGUACAUGACUUAACUUAACUUACCUGACAAACAAUUGUGGACGGAAAGAGUAGCUACAAAUCUAGACGCUUAAAACUUUGUUAUAAAUGGAAAUGAUUAAGGAAUUUUUGGUGAGUUUUAGCUGUAAAACUUCCUCUUCCGUCAACUCAAUGUUAGCUUGUACAUAGUACACAGUAGAAAAAGAAGGGUAGGUAAGCAGAGCAAAGGCAUAAUUUUAAGAGGCAUAUUUAUGCACAUAUUUUAAUUAUUUGAGAUUUUUCAUUAGCUAUAAGAAUUAUGGAAAGUAAUCUUAUUAUAACUUCAGCACUUAGCAAACAUGAUCAAAUUUUGUUUUAGUUAUUUUUUGGCACGAGGGAAUUAGAUAAUUAUCUUCAACAAUACUAGUACCAGUAAUAUCUUUUUUAGUGGCUUUCUAAUUAGACUACUUGCUUCACGAUAAGUCUUAAUGCUUCAAGAUGUUUUUGAUGAUCUCCUUACAAUUCCGAUCCCAUUCCGAUCUCGAUAUGUGGAAUCGUCUUGCGCCAUAUGUACUGAGAUUGUUCGGGAGACAUGGUCCAAGCCCGGUGAAAAAAUGAAAUACAAAAAGAUUAUGAUGUCAAAAUCGCGAGCCGGGCCGGGUCUCGAUUCAGAAAGAUGAAGGGCCCAAAAGUCUAAAUAGGGGGUGAAAAAUUCCCCAUCUCAUUGGGGGCGGAAAACGAAUCGACAUCUCGAUGUGAUACAGCCCUUUCGAUUUUAGUUGGAGGGAUCGGGUCCUCUGCAUAGUAUGCUCGUCCAGGCCCCUGAGCUAUACAACUGGAAAGCUGUCCGCAUAAGAGGUUGAUGAGGUCCUUAGUGUACCACACCAAUCAGAAGGGACGAGGUUGUUUGGUCAUUUGUAUCAACUUUUGAUGUUUGAUAUAUUCAACAUGACAAACAACAAAUUAAUUCAUUCAUGCAAAGAGAGAUAUUCAAGCGAACAGGUCCCAUAACAGGAAGUACAGUGCUUAUAUUAUAGGAUUCGUUUCAAGCGAACAGGAGCUUGUUAGUUUGAUAAUAAAAACCAAUCCCGGUGCACGUAUGAUAAAGCAAAAGCAACACCCUUGAUGAUAUUCACCCGUUUAAGCCAAUCCAAUUUCUUGGACUCAACUUCAUUGCUUAAAACACUAGACGAACUUCCACUCUCCACAUACUCGUAAACCAGAGCGAGUGUUGUGCUUUCGAACAAUAGCCGUAGAGGUUCACAAUGUUCCGGUGCUUAAUCCCAGUCAAUGCCCUUACUUCGUUGAUGAAGCUUUUGGGAUGAGUAUUCUGAAAUGAAGAAUGAAGUCUCUUCACAGCUACAUUCCCGAAUGAUGAAAGGUUUACCUUGUAAACGUUUCCAUGUCCUCCUUGCCCGAUGAAAUAUUUUGCAUCAAACUCUUCUGUGGCGUUUAAGAUGUCCCUGUACAAUGCCUGGAUAUCGAAAGCCAACCUAUACGCUGCAUAGCAAACAUAAAUAUGUAUAUUUCGCUAUACAUAUACAAAAGAAAAUAGUUGUAUAAUUUCGUUAUGCAUAUACAAAAAAAAUCAGUUGUAUAAUAUAUUUUGGAAUACAUAUACAAAAGAUCAAUUGUAUAAUUUUUGUUUGUAUAAAGCGAGAAAGAGAGAAAGACAAAAAAACUGAGUAGGGAAAGAUCGUAUUUGUAUAAUAAUAAGUGUAUCAGACGAAAAUAUAUAUGCAUUUGUAUAUGCAUAUACAAAUAUCUAUCGUUUUAUACACAAACACAAUGUACAUUUGUCUUUGUAUAAAGUGAGAGAAGCGAGUGAGCGAGCAAAAUCUAGGAGAGUGGCGAAUGAGAUCUAGGAGAGGGGGGAGAGGGAAACGAAAAUAUAUGUAUAAAUACAAUUUUCUCUCUCUUUAUACAAACAUAAAUACAUUUUAUACAUUUUCAUUUUUGUAUGAAGUGAGAGAGGCGAGUGAGCGAGAUCUAGGAGAGUGGCAAUCAAUUUCUGAAGAGGGAAAACGAAAAUAUAUGUAUAUAUACAAUUUUCUCUCUCUUCAUACAAAUACAAACGGAUUUUGUAUAUUUGUGUUUGUAUAAAAUGCGAAAGAGGCGAGAGAGAGAACGAGAGUAGCAAGCGAGAUUCAACAGGAGAGAAGCGAAAUAGCAACAGUUUGCUAUGGGUUAUAAUUAAAUCAAACUAUAUGUAUAGCAUUUAAUUUGAAUUAAUAGUGUGCUAUAAUUCUUUUAUAAGAACACAAGUGUUAAUGACCUUAUCAAUAUGUAGAGCGGAAAAUUGAAAUUUUUGUCUGGAUGACCCAUGAAGAAGAAACGUCUCACACACAUUCCGUGGUUAGGAGUGUACAUGACCGGGUUAGUGCGGAUUUUACAAAAAGCAGAUCAAAUUAUUUGUGUCAAAUUUUUAGUUUUGUCAACCUAACCAAACUAAUAAAAUUCAGAUUUUUUCUAAUUUUUCAACCUCGGGUUGAUUUGUUUUUUUUUCAAAUACCAAAUCAAAUCAUUUGUGUUGAAUUUUUUAAAAUUUUUAAAUCAAGUCAAAGUAAUAAACCUCAAUUUUUUUUGAAUUUUUCCAGUAAAGUAUUCAUAUAAACAUAUAAUUAACUUGUGCUACAAAUAUUUCUUUUAGUCCAAACAAAAUACAACUAUCUAAGAUGUUUUUUCAAAAAUAACACAAAAUAUGAGAUAAGUGAUGACUAAAAUAAAGAAAAUAAUAAUGAAAUCUUAUAAAAUAAAUAUUGUGAAUUGAUAAGUCAAAAUGAAAAUGAUCAUAAUUUUAAAAGUACUAAAUCUUGCUAAAAUAAGUCUAAUAAGUAUUAACAGGGAGAGCUCAACAUAAUCCGAGGCCUAAAGUGAAAUUUUAGUUAGAGGCCUAAAAAUUUUAAAAAAAUUAUCUGUAUUUAUUUAUUUUUUAAAAUUUUUAGAUUUCAUUUUUAUAAACAAUUUUUCAAAUACUUUUUUAAAAAUAUAUUUUUAAGCAAGAUUUUAUCAAUUCAACAUUAAAAACAUUAUUUUAUUGAGAAAAUUAUUAUAUGAAUAAAAAAUAUAGUUCUAUAAGUAAUAAGAUGAUAAAUUUUAAAUAAAGAUAAGAAUUUAAGAAUUAUAGAAUCUGAUUCAAAAAGUUGAUAACUUGAUUAUCCUACUUUAAUAUAAAAAUUACAAAGAAAUAAAAAAAUAUUUGUAAUUUAGUUUGUCCAACACUUAUUGAUUCAUAUUUUUUAGAGAAGAUUAUUUUAACUAUCAAAUAUUUAAAGAAAUAGAGUGCAUAAGGAGUUAAAUUUUUUUUAAAAAAUGUGAGUAUUACAAAGAAAAAAAAUAAAAUAUAUUAUGAAUAAUUAAUUCUUUUUCUUGAAAAACUUAAACAUGAUUUUUUAUUUAAUUCGAUCUUGUACACCCUUACCCGCGAUACUGAACUUGGGUACCGCUUGGAAGUAAAAAGAAAAUGAGCAACAAAAAAUGCGGUAUAUCAUAGAAUUACAAACUUCCAGCUAUUAGAGAUAUAUAAACUUACUAACGUUUACGCCAAACCAUAAACUAUUAGAUACAAAUCUGUAAAAAUUGAAAAAAUACAUAUGUAAACAAACCAUGUAUCUAUUGGUUUAUUAUUGUAAACACCAAAUGUGACAAAUUCUUCACCAGAUAAGAUUUAUGUGUUGGAAUUCUUCAAUUGGAAAGGUUAAAAAGACGGAAGAAAUUAUAAAUGUCCCAGCUCCAUGCCUAGCAAACCUAACAGUUUUCGGCAGGAAUACCCAUUAGUUCGCCCAUAUAUAUGGGAGUGACAAUUGGACGGGUUGGAUUAAAUUUAAAUAGGUUAAAAUGAGAAAAAAAUUAUAAACGAGUCAAAUCCUAUUUCAAUCCGACCCAAAUUAGUUUGGGCCAAAACAAAUUAGAUAACAGGUUAAUAAUGGGUCAUAACCAAACCCGCACAACUUUUACUAGAAUUUAAUAGCUUUAUUUGUUAUUUUAUAAGAUUUUAAUAAAAUUAUUAUUUUUGAAAUUAUAACUAUAUACCAAGUAUAAAAUCAAAAAUCAAAAGAUAUUUUAACAAGAUUUCUCAAAAAUCAAUUAAACAAAUCAAGCAAACCAUCAACAUCAAAAAGCAGGAUCGGUUUGAUAAGCAAUCAGCUAACAGCAACAACAGAUGUUCAAUAGAGUAUAAGCAUUAAAUUAUAGAGUAAACCAACUAACAAUACAAACAUAUCAAGGAUUAUAUUGCUUCCCUUGCAUGGUGGUUUCUCUGAUGAACAGGUGGACGUGCAUCCAUUGAUGAUAACUUAUGAGAGAUGAAGUGCAUUGUUGGCCUUGAGUUUGGAGUUUGGAGCAAACAAGAGCAUGCUAGAUUGAUGAUAAAAACCAAAACAUCUUUUACUCUAUCUUCAGGAUAUGGAAGGCGUUCAUCCAGCAAAUUGCUAAGCUGCUCAGGAUCUAUAGUCGAUGAAUUUGCCAGCACAGUAAUGUAUUCCCCGACAUGCUUUCCUUUGAUUAUCUCCAAUGAUAAUACUCCAAAGCUAUACACAUCACACAUUUGUGUAACCUUCAUUGUAUAUGCAAGCUCUGAAUGAUAAUACAAUUUUCAACAACAAUACUAACAAUCAAAUGAGAUUAAGAAAACAAUGGAGUGCUUGGAUAUAGUUCAUCAACUAUUUAAAACUUACCAGGUGCGACAUAACCAUAUGUGCCUGCAAGCGCGGUGCAAUUGGACGAGUCUGGAUUGAGAAUCUUUGCUAUUCCAAAGUCUGCAACACGAGCUUCAUACUCAGAAUCAAGCAAAACAUUACUGCUACGUAUGUCUCGAUGAACAAUGGGUGGUGAACAAUCCUGGUGCAUGUAAGAUAAAGCAAAAGCAACACCCUUGAUGAUAUUCACCCUUUUAAGCCAAUCCAAUUUCUUAGACUCAACUUCAUUGCUUAAAACACUAGACAAACUCCCCCUCUCCACAUACUCGUAAACCAAGAGUGAGUGUUGUGCUUUCGAACAAUAGCCGUAGAGGCUCACAAUGUUCCGGUGCUUAAUCCCAGUCAAUGCCCUUACUUCAUUUAUGAAGCUUUUGGGAUGUGUAUUCUGAAAUGAAGAAUGAAGUCUCUUCACAGCUAUAUCUCCUAAUAAUGGAAGGUUUACCUUGUAAACACUUCCCUGACCUCCUUGCCCAAUGCAAAAUUUUGCAUCGAACUCUUCUGUGGCAUUUAAGAUGUCCCUGUACAAUGCCUUCCCAUCUAACAUGGAUAUCGAAAGCCAACCAUCACCAUCCCUUCUUUCAACGUCUCCAACUCUUCUUCUUUGGUCACACAUAAAGAGAGAACCAGCGAAAGCACAAAGCAGCACUAAUGCUCCCAGAAUAGGAAGUACAGUGAUGAGGAUGAGUUUAUGUCCCUUCGCCAUUGAGUGCUUCUUCACCAUAGAAGAUGGCCUUUCGCAAGGUUGGAAUCCAGUCACAUUGCCACAAAGACCUUUAUUACCUUCUAAUGAGGCAUUCAUAAAAGCAUUAUUAUUAGGGAUUGGCCCUUCCAACUCGUUGUAUGACAAUACAACAUCCUGCAAACCAGUCAAACUAUCAAAUUCUUCAGGAAUGUGGCCAGAAAGGCUGUUGUGGGACAGAUUCAAGUUCACCAAGUACUUCAAAUUGGUUAACUGGGGGGUAUUUCUCCAACCAGAAGAUUAUGGCUCAAAUCAAGUACAUUAAGAUGAGUUAUACCCCCUAUCUCCUUUGGAAUUUUCUGGCCAAACUUGUUACAACUGAGGUUCAAGUGAAACAGGUGUUGGUAAUCUCCUAAAAACGUUGGGAUCGACCCAUUCAAUCUAUUGUCUGAUAGAUCAAGGGAGUCUAAAUUUGUCAGUGACCCAAGUUCCUGAGGUAUAUUGCCAGAAAUUUGGUUGUUUUUCAAUGAGAGCUCAACCAGAGAGGUUAAUUUUCCAAAUUCCUCUGGUAUUUGCCCAACCAAAUGAUUUGCUGAAAGAUCAAGUCCCAAAAGACCUUUGAUGUUUCCAAUCUCUGGUGGUAUGCUACCGCUAAUGUUAUUUCUGGCUAAACAAAAAGUAGUCAAAUUCUUG
This 8461-nucleotide long non-coding RNA is filed under the name Solanum lycopersicum (tomato). RNAcentral's name for it is "long non-coding RNA (SLYC_LNC000090)". Lineage: Eukaryota; Viridiplantae; Streptophyta; Magnoliopsida; Solanales; Solanaceae. The record is from RNAcentral.